RNAcentral lists this ribosomal RNA (900 nucleotides) under uncultured bacterium. RNAcentral describes it as "bacterial SSU rRNA". It matches the Rfam family "Bacterial small subunit ribosomal RNA", at positions 8 to 916 of the family's 1533-position model. The record is from RNAcentral.
AGAGUUUGAUCCUGGCUCAGGACGAACGCUGGCGGCGUGCCUAACACAUGCAAGUCGUGCGGUCUCGCCUUAAGCGAAAGGCCUUCGGGCUUUGAAGCAAAGGCGAGAUAGCGGCGGACGGGUGAGUAACGCGUGGCUUAUCUGUCCCAGGGAGGGGGAUAACGUCUGGAAACGGGCGCUAAUACCCCAUAUGCCGAAAGGUAAAAAGGAGAGAUCCGCCCUGGGGUGAGGCCGCGUCCUAUCAGCUCGUUGGUGAGGUAACGGCCCACCAAGGCUAUGACGGGUAGCCGGCCUGAGAGGGCGGCUGGCCACACUGGGAUUGAGAUACGGCCCAGACUCCUACGGGAGGCAGCAGUGGGGAAUAUUGGGCAAUGGGGGAAACCCUGACCCAGCGACGCCGCGUGGAGGAAGGAGCCCUUCGGGGUGUAAACUCCUGUUGUAAGGGAAGAAGACAGUGACGGUACCUUACGAGGAAGCCCCGGCAAACUACGUGCCAGCAGCCGCGGUAACACGUAGGGGGCGAGCGUUGUCCGGAAUUACUGGGCGUAAAGCGCACGCAGGCGGAUGCGCGCGUCGGCUGUGAAAUGCACCGGCUCAACCGGUGCGCUGCGGUCGAUACGGCGCAUCUGGAGUGCGGGAGAGGGAAGCGGAAUUCCCGGUGUAGCGGUGAAAUGCGUAGAUAUCGGGAGGAACGCCGGUGGCGAAGGCGGCUUCCUGGCCCGCAACUGACGCUCAUGUGCGAAAGCCAGGGGAGCGAACCGGAUUAGAUACCCGGGUAGUCCUGGCCGUAAACGAUGGACGCUAGGUGUGGGCGGUUUAUCCGUCUGUGCCGAAGUUAACGCGUUAAGCGUCCCGCCUGGGGAGUACGAUCGCAAGGUUGAAACUUAAAGGAAUUGACGG